CUCCCUGCAGCCAAGUGUGACUCCACGAUCCGACUUUUCACGGUGGAACUGGGCGAGAGACACACGAAAAUCGGGGAGCUCACGGCAGAUGUUGAGUGCUGCAAGAAAAAGCUCCGGGAACAUGAGGAGGAGCUGGAGGCCCGAGACGCCCAAAUCCGUGAGUAUUUCCCGGAUUUUUG
Corapipo altera (White-ruffed manakin) is the source of this 179-nucleotide long non-coding RNA. RefSeq lists it as uncharacterized. The record is from RefSeq and is a predicted model, not a curated record. The transcript is spliced from 7 exons. Lineage: Eukaryota; Metazoa; Chordata; Aves; Passeriformes; Pipridae.